AUGGGACGUACCACGGUCAAUCCUAUUUGGGCGAGGAUUUGGAAACUUGCUUGUCCAGCAAAGGUUAAAAUAUUUAUUUGGCGUACACUUCAUGGCACUCUUCCGUGUCGUGUUAACUUAGCUAAUAGACAUGUGAAAGUCUCGCCUAAGUGUCCUGCCUGCUCAUCUGGGCCAGAAGACACAAAACAUCUGUUGUUUCUAUGUGACAGAGCAAAAGAAGUCUGGAGAAGACUAGGGAUGGACGAUAUUAUCGACAGAGCUUGUAAAAUAGACUAUGCGGGUGAGAUCUUGGAAUAUUUACUUUCAUUACGAGAUUAGGAACUAUGUAUUAUGGGCACUCGUAAUUUGCGUGACAUGAUUGCCAUAUCAGCCUGGUACUUGUGGUGGGAAAGG
Molecule: ribosomal RNA, 393 nt
Filed under: Triticum aestivum (bread wheat)
Lineage: Eukaryota; Viridiplantae; Streptophyta; Magnoliopsida; Poales; Poaceae
Description: partial small subunit ribosomal RNA
Source: RNAcentral